This is a long non-coding RNA of Phyllostomus discolor (pale spear-nosed bat), 825 nucleotides long. RefSeq lists it as uncharacterized. The record is from RefSeq and is a predicted model, not a curated record. The transcript has 3 exons. Lineage: Eukaryota; Metazoa; Chordata; Mammalia; Chiroptera; Phyllostomidae.
AUUAAAAAAAUUAUAUUUGUUUCAAGUGUACAGUUCUAUAAGAUGUCAUCUGUGCAUUGCAUUGUGGGUUCACCACCCAAAGUCAAGCCCCCUGUCACCACAUAAUAUUUUUAAAUAGUAGGGAAAAACUCCAGAGAAGAAUAAUAUUUGUGAUACCUGAAAGUUAUACGAAGUUCAGAUUUCAGUCUGAAAAAAUGUUUUAUUAAAGCACAGCGAUGCUCAUUUAUGCACAUAUCAUCCAUGGCUGCUCUCACGCAACAACAGCAGAGUUGAGUAAUUGUGACGGAAACCAUAUGGUCCACAGAGCCAAGAAUAUUUACAGUCUGGCCCUUUACAGAGAGGAUUUGCUGACACUUGAUCUAGAGACCUGAGCUGUACAGGACCAGUUAGACUAGGAGACUGGGUGUCUCCUCUUUGCCAAGAAAUCUGUAACAGGUGCUGUCUCAGUCUGUUGGGGCUGAUAUAAAAAUUACCACAGACUGGAUAGCUUAUAAACAACAGAAAUUUAUAACUCACACUUCUGGAGACUGGGAAGUCCAAGGUGAAGGUGCCAGCACGGUUGCCUUCUCGUGGAGGCCCUCCUCCUGGCUCAUAGCUGCUGCCUUUCCCUUUGUCCUCCUAGGGCAGAAGAGGCUGGGGAACUCCGUGGGUCUAUUUAUCACACUCUAAUAUUGUGAAUGAGGGUUCCGCCUUGUGCUAAGCACCUCCCAGAGGCCUUACUUACCAUACCAUCACCUUCAGGGGUUAGGAUUUCAACCUAUGAAUUUUGGGGGGAUGCAGUCAAACCAUAGCAGGUGCCUUCGAUGCAGGUUCAGGCCUUUUAAC